RNAcentral lists this ribosomal RNA (440 nucleotides) under uncultured bacterium. RNAcentral's name for it is "partial 16S ribosomal RNA". It matches the Rfam family "Bacterial small subunit ribosomal RNA", at positions 338 to 795 of the family's 1533-position model. The record is from RNAcentral.
CCUACGGGAGGCAGCAGUGGGGAAUAUUGCACAAUGGGGGAAACCCUGAUGCAGCGACGCCGCGUGAGUGAAGAAGUAUUUCGGUACGUAAAGCUCUAUCAGCAGGGAAGAAAAUGACGGUACCUGACUAAGAAGCCCCGGCUAACUACGUGCCAGCAGCCGCGGUAAUACGUAGGGGGCAAGCGUUAUCCGGAUUUACUGGGUGUAAAGGGAGCAUAGACGGCAGCGCAAGUCUGGAGUGAAAUCCCAUGGCUUAACCAUGGAACUGCGUUGGAAACUGUGCAGCUAGAGUGCAGGAGUUGUAAGCGGAAUUCCUAGUGUAGCGGUGAAAUGCGUAGAUAUUAGGAGGAACACCAGUGGCGAAGGCGGCUUACUGGACUGUAACUGACGUUGAGGCUCGAAAGCGUGGGGAGCAAACAGGAUUAGAUACCCUAGUAGUC